RNAcentral lists this ribosomal RNA (116 nucleotides) under Pogona vitticeps (central bearded dragon). Lineage: Eukaryota; Metazoa; Chordata; Lepidosauria; Squamata; Agamidae. The record is from RNAcentral.
AUUUGCCAUACCACCCUUAAUACAUCAAAUUGUGUCUGAUAUUGGAAGCUAAGCAAGAUUGGUCUGGUCAGUACUUGGAUGAGAGACUACUGAAUAACACUCAAGAUCUCCAAAUA